RNAcentral lists this transfer RNA (65 nucleotides) under Dipetalogaster maximus. Its description in RNAcentral is "tRNA-Leu". Lineage: Eukaryota; Metazoa; Arthropoda; Insecta; Hemiptera; Reduviidae. The record is from RNAcentral.
ACUAUUUUGGCAGAUUAGUGCAGUAAAUUUAGGAUUUAUUUAUGUAGUUCAUUCUACAGAUAGUA